This is a long non-coding RNA of Perca flavescens (yellow perch), 667 nucleotides long. RefSeq lists it as uncharacterized. The record is from RefSeq and is a predicted model, not a curated record. The transcript has 3 exons. Lineage: Eukaryota; Metazoa; Chordata; Actinopteri; Perciformes; Percidae.
CAACUGGAGGCAGCAGUAGUGAUGGUGUUUGUUUGAACAAUGACUGAGAGGCAGAAAGAAAGAGCAGUGUGCACAGUGUUUACUUUUCAGUACAUGGCCAUUUGGCUUGGGAAGUGGAGGAUCGCCAGUUCAACUCCCCGUAGGCUACGGACUAAGAAGAGUGUCAACCCCAAGCCUUCAGGAUUAAAUUAAAUAGUGCGUAGUUUCUGCUGAAUUCUAAGUAAUGACAACAACACUGUUUGUUAUGGGUUGCUCUCUCUCCACACUGAGUUGGGUGGUUUUGUUUUCCCUGUUUGUCUGUGUUCCGUGUUUUUCCACCUGGAGUGCUGGAGGAGUGUCCAGAGGGAAGUAGGUCAAGGGGCGUGGCCGAUCCAACACUGCAUUGCCGGUUUUCACAGCUGCAGCUCAUCUUCAUGAUUCACCCCUGCAAUACUUAAACCCGGGCUGAUCACCUUGUUGGCGCCAGUUCGUUAUGUACAACUCAUGUGUUACCGCUCUGCCCAGCUGCCUCCUCUGCUUUGCCUGCCUGCUUCAAGCCUCACCAUCCAGCCUCUGUCUCCAACUUGGGAAACCCUCCAUGUUCUCGUCUCUGCCUGUUCCCCUCGUGUCCCAUAAAGACCUGGAUUCUUCCCUGUCGGCUCGCCACAAGCCUCAGACCAGCCUGGAG